CCUGGCUCAGAUUGAACGCUGGCGGCAGGCUUAACACAUGCAAGUCGAGCGGGGGAAGGUAGCUUGCUACUGGACCUAGCGGCGGACGGGUGAGUAAUGCUUAGGAAUCUGCCUAUUAGUGGGGGACAACAUCUCGAAAGGGAUGCUAAUACCGCAUACGUCCUACGGGAGAAAGCAGGGGAUCUUCGGACCUUGCGCUAAUAGAUGAGCCUAAGUCGGAUUAGCUAGUUGGUGGGGUAAAGGCCUACCAAGGCGACGAUCUGUAGCGGGUCUGAGAGGAUGAUCCGCCACACUGGGACUGAGACACGGCCCAGACUCCUACGGGAGGCAGCAGUGGGGAAUAUUGGACAAUGGGGGGAACCCUGAUCCAGCCAUGCCGCGUGUGUGAAGAAGGCCUUAUGGUUGUAAAGCACUUUAAGCGAGGAGGAGGCUACUUUAGUUAAUACCUAGAGAUAGUGGACGUUACUCGCAGAAUAAGCACCGGCUAACUCUGUGCCAGCAGCCGCGGUAAUACAGAGGGUGCGAGCGUUAAUCGGAUUUACUGGGCGUAAAGCGUGCGUAGGCGGCUUAUUAAGUCGGAUGUGAAAUCCCCGAGCUUAACUUGGGAAUUGCAUUCGAUACUGGUGAGCUAGAGUAUGGGAGAGGAUGGUAGAAUUCCAGGUGUAGCGGUGAAAUGCGUAGAGAUCUGGAGGAAUACCGAUGGCGAAGGCAGCCAUCUGGCCUAAUACUGACGCUGAGGUACGAAAGCAUGGGGAGCAAACAGGAUUAGAUACCCUGGUAGUCCAUGCCGUAAACGAUGUCUACUAGCCGUUGGGGCCUUUGAGGCUUUAGUGGCGCAGCUAACGCGAUAAGUAGACCGCCUGGGGAGUACGGUCGCAAGACUAAAACUCAAAUGAAUUGACGGGGGCCCGCACAAGCGGUGGAGCAUGUGGUUUAAUUCGAU
This 943-nucleotide ribosomal RNA is filed under the name Acinetobacter baumannii. RNAcentral describes it as "bacterial SSU rRNA". It matches the Rfam family "Bacterial small subunit ribosomal RNA", at positions 18 to 955 of the family's 1533-position model. Lineage: Bacteria; Pseudomonadati; Pseudomonadota; Gammaproteobacteria; Moraxellales; Moraxellaceae. The record is from RNAcentral.